AACGAACGCUGGCGGCGCGUUUUAAGCAUGCAAGUCGAGCGGCAAGGGUAGCAAUACCCCUAGAGCGGCGGACGGGUGAGUAACACGUGGACAACCUGCCCUUAGGCGAGGGAUAGCCCAGGGAAACCUGGAUUAAUACCUUAUAAGACCACUGAUAGGAGUAUGAGUGGGGAAAGGUGCUACGGCGCCGCCUGAGGAUGGAUCUGCGUCCCAUUAGCUAGAUGGUAGGGUAAAGGCCUACCAUGGCGACGAUGGGUAGCCGGCCUGAGAGGGUGAACGGCCACACUGGAACUGAGAGACGGUCCAGACUCCUACGGGAGGCAGCAGCUAAGAAUCUUCCGCAAUGGGCGCAAGCCUGACGGAGCGACGCCGCGUGAACGAUGAAGGCCGCAAGGUUGUAAAGUUCUUUUCGGGAAGGAGAAUAAGGGGAGCAGGCAAUGGCUUUCCGAUGCCGUGAAUCCCGGAAUAAGCCCGGCUAACUACGUG
This 486-nucleotide ribosomal RNA is filed under the name uncultured bacterium. RNAcentral's name for it is "bacterial SSU rRNA". It matches the Rfam family "Bacterial small subunit ribosomal RNA", at positions 29 to 507 of the family's 1533-position model. The record is from RNAcentral.